UGGGGAAUAUUGGACAAUGGGCGCAAGCCUGAUCCAGCCAUGCCGCGUGAGUGAUGAAGGCCCUAGGGUUGUAAAGCUCUUUCACCGAUGAAGAUAAUGACGGUAGUCGGAGAAGAAGCCCCGGCUAACUUCGUGCCAGCAGCCGCGGUAAUACGAAGGGGGCUAGCGUUGUUCGGAAUUACUGGGCGUAAAGCGCACGUAGGCGGAUAUUUAAGUCAGGGGUGAAAUCCCAGAGCUCAACUCUGGAACUGCCUUUGAUACUGGGUAUCUUGAGUAUGGAAGAGGUAAGUGGAAUUCCGAGUGUAGAGGUGAAAUUCGUAGAUAUUCGGAGGAACACCAGUGGCGAAGGCGGCUUACUGGUCCAUUACUGACGCUGAGGUGCGAAAGCGUGGGGAGCAAACAGGAUUAGAUACCCCUGUAGUCC
This 424-nucleotide ribosomal RNA is filed under the name uncultured bacterium. Its description in RNAcentral is "bacterial SSU rRNA". It matches the Rfam family "Bacterial small subunit ribosomal RNA", at positions 355 to 796 of the family's 1533-position model. The record is from RNAcentral.